GGCGAAGUGGCGGAGUGGUUAACGCGAUUGACUAGAACUUAUCUACUCUGAAUCUUUCAGACGUGGCUGUUUAAAUCAAUUUCCUUCGGGAGCGUAGGUUCAAAUCCUGCCUUCGUCG
Cadophora malorum is the source of this 118-nucleotide non-coding RNA. The record is from the annotation of a GenBank genome assembly. Lineage: Eukaryota; Fungi; Ascomycota; Leotiomycetes; Helotiales; Ploettnerulaceae.